RNAcentral lists this ribosomal RNA (268 nucleotides) under uncultured bacterium. RNAcentral's name for it is "partial 16S ribosomal RNA". It matches the Rfam family "Bacterial small subunit ribosomal RNA", at positions 94 to 354 of the family's 1533-position model. The record is from RNAcentral.
AGUGGCGAACGGGUGAGUAACACGUGGGCAACCUGCCCAAAAGAGGGGGAGUAACACUUGGAAACAGGUGCUAAUACCGCAUAACCAUAGUUACCGCAUGGUAACUAUGUAAAAGGUGGCUAUACUACCGCUUUUGGAUGGGCCCGCGGCGCAUUAGCUAGUUGGUAGGGGUAAAGGCUUACCAAGGCAAUGAUGCGUAGCCGAAUUGAGAGGUUGAUCGGCCACAUUGGGACUGAGACACGGCCCAAACUCCUACGGGAGGCAGCAG